CCUGAUGCAGCGACGCCGCGUGAGGGAUGACGGCCUUCGGGUUGUAAACCUCUUUCGACAGGGACGAAGCGCAAGUGACGGUACCUGUAGAAGAAGCACCGGCCAACUACGUGCCAGCAGCCGCGGUAAUACGUAGGGUGCGAGCGUUGUCCGGAAUUACUGGGCGUAAAGAGCUUGUAGGCGGUUCGUCGCGUCGUUCGUGAAAACUUGGGGCUCAACCCCAAGCUUGCGGGCGAUACGGGCGGACUAGAGUACUUCAGGGGAGACUGGAAUUCCUGGUGUAGCGGUGAAAUGCGCAGAUAUCAGGAGGAACACCGGUGGCGAAGGCGGGUCUCUGGGAAGUAACUGACGCUGAGAAGCGAAAGCGUGGGUAGCGAACAGGAUUAGAUACCCUGGUAGUCCACGCCGUAAACGGUGGGUACUAGGUGUGGGUUUCCUUCCACGGGAUCCGUGCCGUAGCUAACGCAUUAAGUACCCCGCCUGGGGAGUACGGCCGCAAGGCUAAAACUCAAAGGAAUUGACGGGGGCCCGCACAAGCGGCGGAGCAUGUGGAUUAAUUCGAUGCAACGCGAAGAACCUUACCUGGGUUUGACAUACACCGGAACCUGCAGAGAUGUAGGCCCCCUUGUGGUCGGUGU
This 638-nucleotide ribosomal RNA is filed under the name Nocardia sp. So2Ps_1703. RNAcentral's name for it is "bacterial SSU rRNA". It matches the Rfam family "Bacterial small subunit ribosomal RNA", at positions 382 to 1032 of the family's 1533-position model. Lineage: Bacteria; Bacillati; Actinomycetota; Actinomycetes; Mycobacteriales; Nocardiaceae. The record is from RNAcentral.